GUGAGGCUGUGCUCCCCCCGA
RNAcentral lists this microRNA (21 nucleotides) under Gallus gallus (chicken). Its description in RNAcentral is "gga-miR-12252-3p". The record is from miRBase by way of RNAcentral. Lineage: Eukaryota; Metazoa; Chordata; Aves; Galliformes; Phasianidae.